AAAACUCACCAGGUCAGGACACGGUAAGGAUUGACGGACUGAAGGCUUCUUUCUCGAUUCCGUGGAAAGUGGUGCAUGGCCGUUUUUGGUUGGUGGAUCGAUCCGUCUGGUUAAUUCCGUUAACGAACGAGACCUCGGCACUCCGAAUAGCGCGGCGGACGUCGCGGCCUCCGGGCCGUCUUCCGCACGAGCUUCUUAGAGGGACCGUCCCCCGCCGGGGAAGGAGGUGCGAGGCAACGACAGGUCUGUGAUGCCCUUAGAUGUUCUGGGCCGCACGCGCAUUACACUGACGCGUCCAACGGGUGACUCCCGACCCGAAGGGGCCGGGGAAUCCCGCAAGGCGCGUCGUGAUGGGGAUUGAACGUUGCAAUUGUUGUUCACGAACGAGGAAUUCCUAGUAGGCGCGGGUCACUCAACCCGCGCCGAUUACGUCCCUGCCCUUUGUACACA
RNAcentral lists this ribosomal RNA (450 nucleotides) under uncultured eukaryote. RNAcentral's name for it is "bacterial SSU rRNA". It matches the Rfam family "Eukaryotic small subunit ribosomal RNA", at positions 1210 to 1668 of the family's 1831-position model. The record is from RNAcentral.